AUUAAGAUUCACAAUCGUUCUAAUGAGGUCAUCGGUUCUUACAUUCCUUUGUAUAAAUGGUAAUAACCUAAUAGUAAUAAUAAUGUAGAUACAAAACGUUAAUCGCAUAUCUAACAACAUAUGUCUUCAACUACUCUGAUACUUGCAAGGUAGGAGUAACACACUGAUUUUUUCGCCAUUGUACAUUGAUAUAAUGAUGUGAUCAGGCGAGAAGUUCAUUAAAAUCGGCAUGUAACAGCAUGUAAGUAAUGACUAACUGUAAGUCAAUCCCGCUGU
Molecule: long non-coding RNA, 276 nt
Organism: Bombus huntii
Lineage: Eukaryota; Metazoa; Arthropoda; Insecta; Hymenoptera; Apidae
Exons: 2
Source: RefSeq, a predicted model, not a curated record